This 28-nucleotide non-coding RNA is filed under the name Rattus norvegicus (Norway rat). The record is from RNAcentral. Lineage: Eukaryota; Metazoa; Chordata; Mammalia; Rodentia; Muridae.
UGGAUAGUCUAAGGAUUGGUCUUUCACA